This 68-nucleotide transfer RNA is filed under the name Nitidulidae sp. BMNH 1274727. RNAcentral's name for it is "tRNA-Ser". The record is from RNAcentral. Lineage: Eukaryota; Metazoa; Arthropoda; Insecta; Coleoptera; Nitidulidae.
AGUUAAUGAACUUGUAUAAGUAUAUGUUUUGAAAACAUAAAAAAGAAAUAUAACCUUUCUAUUAACUU